GAUUAAAAACUCCUCUUCCCCUAUGAGCCACCGGUACUGCCCCUCUAGAUGGCUCUUAGUGUCAUUUCCUGUUUCCUCCCAAGCCAGGAUUCACUUUCUCAAUGCAGUCAGCCUGCUGGCCAGUGACUCUAGUCAGAUGCUUUUUAGUGGCUCAGGGAACUUGCACAGGGCUCUGGUUUAAAUUUGGAAAAUGCUUGAGCUGGGAGAACUGAUUCCUGGUCUUUCCCCUUCUCCCAAGUUAGCUGAGCCAAAUGCACAUCAGUGAGGGGUUCAGACACCACACUCUCCCAGAAAGAGUGAGAGGCAGGAGUGUGUUGGAGGUGGUGCAGGUGAGAACGGCCCCCCAAAGUCCUCUGCAUUUCUCAGCUCUUGCUGUGGGCCAGGCCUUUGCUGAGGACAUGAUUACAGCUAUUAGCUCUAAUUUUUGCCAUAACCCCUGGGUGACUGGUAAGUACAUUUCACAUUAGAAGAGCAGCCUGGGAAAGUAAGAGACUUAGAGCAUCACCCAGCUACCAUGUGGUGACACCUGUCUUUCACCUGAGUGCUGUCUAAUUCCUGAGCCCACGCUGCUACUUCUGCCUGGUGGUUGGCUCAGGCAGAGUGGUGCUCACAGCCCCUGCCUGAGGACGCUUCUGACGGGGGAUUUGUCAUCCGUGGGAAAUGCGCCUGGCUCCUAGGGUCCACUUCCAGCUCUCCCGGUGACUGUCAGCUGAGGCCAGGUGCCUGGAACGCAAGCUGCUGCCGUCCCCUUAACACCUGUCUCCGGCUGGGGCGGCCUCCUGAUUUCCAAGGUGGAGGAGUGCCUGAGGUCAGGCGACUUGCCCGAGGUUCCAGCGUCACCUCUGCCAUCCUGGGCGUUCUGGGAACAAGUCAGGAGUAGCGUCUUGAGCAUUCUGUGCAAAAAAGCCCAGAGCAGCGCUGCAUUCGCACUCCUGCCCAGCCCAGCUUGCACCCUCAGUCUGUUCCCAUCUUCACAGAGGCCACGUGCUGCUGCUGUCAUUCUGUCUGCCUGGAAUACGGCCCUCAAGGACAGCUCUUCCUCAAGGGGAGGCAGAGGGCCCAGGAAAGACAAGGCUGGGAGGGUCCAGGGAAUGGAACGUGCAGGGUUCCCCAGAGCACCACGUUCUGGCACGUGUGUCUGGCGUGUGGCUCACAGGAUGCGGAUGCUGGCUGCUCAGGAGAAAAACCAGGGGGGAGUGGCUUCCAACCUUGUCCACUCCCCACUGCUCCCCAUGGUGGAUCCGAGUCAUCCGCUCUCCGACCAGGGCCUGGAGCCCUCCCUGGUUCUCCGCGCUGCUGAUGGCUGCCUGUUUUCUUCUCUGGUUGGCCAGCAAGGUUGGGAUAUUUCAGAAGCAUUUUCUACUCGGAAACUCAGGGAGACAGAAACUGGAUGAGAAAGCAGCUGGUUACCAAUCCCAACACUUAGCUAAGUGACAGCUUUGGACAAGCAGGCUGGCCUGUCUUCCUCCCCGAUGACCGAUUUUAUGUGCAGUCCUGGCUAGGGAACGGCACUCCAGCACCAGUCUCCAUGGUACAGAGAAGGUAUUUCUAAGAUGUGAUUAACAUUUAAAUCAGUA
RNAcentral lists this long non-coding RNA (1577 nucleotides) under Fukomys damarensis (Damara mole-rat). Its description in RNAcentral is "lncRNA (ENSFDAG00000033043.1)". The record is from RNAcentral. Lineage: Eukaryota; Metazoa; Chordata; Mammalia; Rodentia; Bathyergidae.